Molecule: long non-coding RNA, 237 nt
Organism: Carassius auratus (goldfish)
Lineage: Eukaryota; Metazoa; Chordata; Actinopteri; Cypriniformes; Cyprinidae
Exons: 3
Source: RefSeq, a predicted model, not a curated record
GUGUCUUCUUGCAAGGGAUUUGAACAUGAGAUUAAGGAGUAUUCAAGACAAUUUCUUUCAUAUAGCAUGCAGCCAAUGAGAGAACACCAGAUUUUACCUGUGAUGUAAUGUCCUGAGCUGACUCCCUUGGGAAAACAACAUGGUGACUGUCUAGUCUCUGGGUCUGGGCAAUCCUGCAGUGUCAGAACUGAAGCCGCGCUGUCAGCAUUUCCUCCAGUUAGAAGGAUGACCACAGGU